GUAGGGAAUAUUGGACAAUGGGGGCAACCCUGAUCCAGCGACGCCGCGUGAGUGAUGAAGGCCUUCGGGUCGUAAAGCUCUGUUGCAGGGGAAGAACACAAUGACGGUACCCUGCUAGAAAGGAUCGGCUAACUUCGUGCCAGCAGCCGCGGUAAGACGAGGGAUCCUAGCGUUGUUCGGAAUUAUUGGGCGUAAAGCGGGUGCAGGUGGCUUGGUAAGUCAGAUGUGAAAGCCUGGGGCUUAACCCCAGAAGUGCAUUUGAUACUGCUGAGCUUGAGUGCUGGAGAGGCUAUUAGAAUUCCUGGUGUAGUGGUGAAAUACGUAGAUAUCAGGAGGAAUACCGGAGGCGAAGGCGGAAAGCUGGCCAGACACUGACACUCAGACCCGAAAGCGUGGGGAUCAAACAGGAUUAGAUACCCUAGUAGUCC
Molecule: ribosomal RNA, 428 nt
Filed under: uncultured bacterium
Lineage: Bacteria
Description: partial 16S ribosomal RNA
Rfam family: Bacterial small subunit ribosomal RNA
Source: RNAcentral